Mauremys mutica (yellowpond turtle) is the source of this 2177-nucleotide long non-coding RNA. RefSeq lists it as uncharacterized. The record is from RefSeq and is a predicted model, not a curated record. The transcript has 4 exons. NCBI's taxonomy places the organism in Eukaryota, Metazoa, Chordata, Testudines, Geoemydidae.
CAAGCAGAUUUACAGUUUUCAGACCAGAGUCCUAGGCUAUGUGUUAAAGAACAGGGAGCACUACCAUCCUGAGCCCACUGAGUAAAGAAAAUGAGCUGGUUUUGUUGUCGAAACUCCCAGUUCUAACUCUUGGCCUUUAGCUGCAUAGGAGGAUGGGAACUGAGAUUUUCUGUAGAGCCUGAAGGUCUGCUUCCCCUCCUCUUCAUGAGGAAGGGGGUCUCCUACUAUUUUCUUCUCUGUUUGGGCUAUUUUUACAACAACCUGGAAGGAGGUGCAUUUGCUAUGAUGUGCAGCUGGAGGGCUAUACUUCAGACCACAGGACUGCUAUUGCUCAUGGAACAACAUAUGAGUUAAAGGAUGGAAGAGAGAACUGAAAUACUGAAGAGUGACCAAACAAAUGGCAUCUUUAAUUGACCAAAUCUGUCCAGUGUAUAUUUGAGACACAUUUGCUUACUUUGGUGACAAAAAACAGGGCUUCCGGUGAUUGCCAGCUCAUGUUGCGUAUGAAAUGCAAGAACACUUUGUUGGCAAGAGAUAUUCACCAAUGAACAGCAAGAUGUUUGCCUCUUCCCUGAUCUGUUUUUGGUCUGGCAAAUGUUGUCAACAGCAACUCCAAAGACAGAUGGUUUUAAAAACAUCAAAAAAACAUCUGCAGGACUGAUUCAAUAAGCAGGGAAAAGAAGAUUCAAUCAUCUAAUGUUCCAUGAUGUACUUUAGAGACUUGAAACACUUAAACAUUAGCUUCUUGGAAUUAGCAGCAAUCUAUAAUACAUGUUUUGGUAAGAAUUAAGUACCUAGUUAAACAAAUUAUUGUAUCGUAGGCUUCAUCUUAAUUCUGUUUUUUGUUAAGCAGUGUGAGAGAGUACAAACAUUUCAAAAGUUACAGCAAUUGUACAGGCCAUUUACAAAUGCAGUAACUUAUCUUAACCAAAAUCAUAGCAUUCAUUAAACUUGUAAAAAUCUGGAAAAUUCCGUAUUACUUACUGCUCAGGUAAGCUUUCAAAGAGAGCAGGAGCUCCAACGCUUACUUUGAAUUUAAGAAAGUUUGUGUAUCUUUGUGGCAAGAACUAAAUGAUACUGAAAUGAAGAAGAUACAAUUUAAAAUGAAUAAACGGGACAACUAAUUAGCUAAUAGCCAGAUUGGUCUUGGUCUGUAGGGCUAUUUUAAGAUCUUGUAUUAACUCUGGAGCUCUGCUUCCCUGCAGCAUCUGACAGCUUCCCUGUGCACAUUAUACUUGCUGGAAUAUAUAAUAUACUAGAUCCUGUCAGUAAAAAAAAUUCCAUUCACCCCAAAUGACUACACCUGAAAGUAUGUGGCGCUGAUUCUAGGCAAUGUUUAAUAUUGUAAACAUCUCCACAAGUUUUCAACUCAUGUUUUAAAAGUUUCACUGAACAUGUAUCAUUGCACCCCAGCCACUCAAUGUGAAGACUAAAGGAAAGGCAAACUCUGACAGAUACCAAACUGCAGAUGUAAUAUACUGUACUGCAGUGGUUCUCUACCAGGGGUUUGUAGCCCCCAGGGGGCCACACGCGGGUUUCAGGGGCUCCGCCAAGCAUGGCCAGCAUUAGACUCGCUAGAGCCCAUAGCAGAAAGACGAAGCCCCGCUGCACAGAACUGCAACCCAGGACUAAAGCCAAAGCCUGAACAACUUAACUUUAUUGUGCCCUCUGUGGUGGGGCCCCAGACAAUUGCCCUGCUUGCCCCCCCCUAACGCUGGCCCUGGUUUUUAUAUGCCGAAAACAGUUGUGGCACAGCUGGGCCCUGGAGUUUAAUAGCAUGUUGUGGGAGCCUCAGAAAGAAAAAAGUGGCAAACCCCUGCUAUACUGAACAAACUUUUGCACAAGCAAUCUCCCCAUACAAGUAAUCUCACUAAAUCAAUGGGACUACUUACUGUAGGUCAGGCUUGACAUGAAUAAUUGGACAUGGGUGAAGCUUCAUUUUUGGGAGACAGGUUUAGUAUAUUAUACAAAGUAAAACCAGUGGUAAGUAAUAUGGAGCCAAAAAGCUUGCUCUUUUUUAUCACCACAGAUAAGUUAAAAAUUUGGUACAAAAGAGGGACAUCACAUGGUGCAGAAUAAAAAAUUAACAAGGAUCCAAUACCGUGAAGUUAAAUGUAAAACCACUGCAACCCAUACAGUGUGGAACGAAUUUGUUUUCCCUUCUCAAAUACUGUUAC